CAUGCAAGUCGAGCGGUAACAGACAUAAAGAUUCAGCUUGCUGAAUCCGGUGCUGACGAGCGGCGAACGGGUGAGUAACGCGUAGGAAUCUACCCAGUAGCGGGGGAUAGCCCGAGGAAACUCGGAUUAAUACCGCAUACGCCCUGAGGGGGAAAGGGGGCAGUUUACUGCUCUCACUAUUGGAUGAGCCUGCGUAAGAUUAGCUUGUUGGUGGGGUAAUGGCCUACCAAGGCGACGAUCUUUAGCUGGUCUGAGAGGACGAUCAGCCACAUUGGGACUGAGACACGGCCCAGACAUCUACGGAUGGCAGCAGUUAAGAAUAUUGGACAAUGGGGGCAACCCUGAUCCAGGUAUACCGCGUGUGUGAAGAAGGCCCUAGGGUUGUAAAGCACUUUAAUCAGAGAAGAAGCACUUUAAGUUAAUACCUUAAUAUGUUGACGUUACCUGAAGAAUAAGGACCGGCUAACUCCGUGCCAGCAGCCGCGGUAAUACGGAGGGUCCAAGCGUUAAUCGGAAUUACUGGGCGUAAAGCGCGCGUAGGCGGUUUAGCAAGUUGUAUGUGAAAGCCCUGGGCUCAACCUAGGAACUGCAUCCAAAACUACUAAGCUAGAGUACGAGAGAGGAGAGUAGAAUUUCUGGUGUAGCGGUGAAAUGCGUAGAUAUCAGAAGGAAUACCAAUGGCGAAGGCAGCUCUCUGGCUCGUCACUGACGCUGAGGUGCGAAAGCGUGGGUAGCAAACAGGAUUAGAUACCCUGGUAGUCCACGCCGUAAACGAUGAGAACUAGCCGUUGGGCAGAUUUAACUGUUCAGUGGCACAGCUAACGCAUUAAGUUC
RNAcentral lists this ribosomal RNA (834 nucleotides) under uncultured Gammaproteobacteria bacterium. RNAcentral describes it as "bacterial SSU rRNA". It matches the Rfam family "Bacterial small subunit ribosomal RNA", at positions 54 to 867 of the family's 1533-position model. The record is from RNAcentral. Lineage: Bacteria; Pseudomonadati; Pseudomonadota; Gammaproteobacteria.